Molecule: non-coding RNA, 73 nt
Organism: Danio rerio (zebrafish)
Lineage: Eukaryota; Metazoa; Chordata; Actinopteri; Cypriniformes; Danionidae
Source: Rfam
GGCCCAGUGGCCUAAUGGAUAAGGCACCAACCUUCAAAGCUGAGGAUUGUGGGUUCAAGUCCCACCUGGGUUG